Molecule: ribosomal RNA, 207 nt
Filed under: uncultured bacterium
Lineage: Bacteria
Description: partial 16S ribosomal RNA
Rfam family: Bacterial small subunit ribosomal RNA
Source: RNAcentral
CGCGUAGGCGGUUUUAUAAGUCAGAUGUGAAAGGUACCGGCUCAACCGGUGACGUGCAUUUGAAACUGUAAGACUUGAGUACUGGAGAGGCAAGUGGAAUUCCUAGUGUAGCGGUGAAAUGCGUAGAUAUUAGGAGGAACACCGGUGGCGAAGGCGGCUUGCUGGACAGAUACUGACGCUGAGGUGCGAAAGCGUGGGGAGCGAACA